This 84-nucleotide transfer RNA is filed under the name Ruminococcus sp. RNAcentral's name for it is "tRNA-Leu". It matches the Rfam family "tRNA". Rfam says of the family: Transfer RNA (tRNA) molecules are approximately 80 nucleotides in length. Their secondary structure includes four short double-helical elements and three loops (D, anti-codon, and T loops). The record is from RNAcentral. Lineage: Bacteria; Bacillati; Bacillota; Clostridia; Eubacteriales; Oscillospiraceae. RNAcentral also lists the same sequence under 2 other names.
GCGGAUAUGGCGGAAUUGGCAGACGCGCAUGGUUCAGGUCCAUGUGAUAGCAAUAUCAUGGAGGUUCAAGUCCUCUUAUCCGCA